UGCUUAACACAUGCAAGUCGAACGAUGACUUCUGUGCUUGCACAGAAUGAUUAGUGGCGAACGGGUGAGUAACACGUGAGUAAGCUGCCCUUGACUUCGGGAUAAGCCUGGGAAACCGGGUCUAAUACCGGAUACGAAGCUCCUGGCGCAUGCCAUGGGGGUGGAAAGCUNUAUUGCGGUUUUGGAUGGNCUCGCGGCCUAUCAGCUUGUUGAUUGGGUAAUGGCCCACCAAGGCGACGACGGUAGCCGGCCUGAGAGGGUGACCGGCCACACUGGGACUGAGACACGGCCCAGACUCCUACGGGAGGCAGCAGUGGGGAAUAUUGCACAAUGGGCGAAAGCCUGAUGCAGCGACGCCGCGUGAGGGAUGACGGCCUUCGGGUUGUAAACCUCUUUCAGCAGGGAAGAAGCGAAAGUGACGGUACCUGCAGAAGAAGCGCCGGCUAACUACGUGCCAGCAGCCGCGGUAAUACGUAGGGCGCAAGCGUUAUCCGGAAUUAUUGGGCGUAAAGAGCUCGUAGGCGGUUUGUCGCGUCUGCUGUGAAAGCCCGGGGCUCAACCCCGGGUCUGCAGUGGAUACGGGCAGACUAGAGUGCAGUAGGGGAGACUGGAUUCCU
This 617-nucleotide ribosomal RNA is filed under the name actinobacterium KV-416. RNAcentral's name for it is "bacterial SSU rRNA". It matches the Rfam family "Bacterial small subunit ribosomal RNA", at positions 45 to 670 of the family's 1533-position model. Lineage: Bacteria; Bacillati; Actinomycetota; Actinomycetes. The record is from RNAcentral.